RNAcentral lists this ribosomal RNA (497 nucleotides) under uncultured bacterium. Its description in RNAcentral is "partial 16S ribosomal RNA". It matches the Rfam family "Bacterial small subunit ribosomal RNA", at positions 28 to 507 of the family's 1533-position model. The record is from RNAcentral.
GAUGAACGCUGGCGGCGUGCCUAAUACAUGCAAGUCGAGCGAACAGAUGAGGAGCUUGCUCCUCUGACGUUAGCGGCGGACGGGUGAGUAACACGUGGAUAACCUACCUAUAAGACUGGGAUAACUUCGGGAAACCGGAGCUAAUACCGGAUAAUAUAUUGAACCGCAUGGUUCAAUAGUGAAAGACGGUUUUGCUGUCACUUAUAGAUGGAUCCGCGCCGCAUUAGCUAGUUGGUAAGGUAACGGCUUACCAAGGCAACGAUGCGUAGCCGACCUGAGAGGAUGACCAGUCAAACUGGGACUGAGACACGGUCGAGACUACUACGGGAGGCAGCAGUGGGGAAUAUUGGAAAAGGGGAGAAAGCCUGAUACAGCCAUGCCGGGUGAGUGAAGAAGGUCUUCGGAUUGUAAAGCACUUUAAGUUGGGAGGAAGGGAAGGAAGUUAAUACCUUGCUGUUUUGACGUGACCAAAAGAAUAAGCCCCGGCUAACUUCGUG